RNAcentral lists this long non-coding RNA (2842 nucleotides) under Hordeum vulgare. Its description in RNAcentral is "long non-coding RNA (HVUL_LNC000344)". The record is from RNAcentral. Lineage: Eukaryota; Viridiplantae; Streptophyta; Magnoliopsida; Poales; Poaceae.
CGCCCCUUCCUUAUCUCUUUCCUUCUGCAUCCCAAUCUCUACAUCAUUACAUAAAAAAGAGCCCAUCCUCAUCGCCUACUCUCCAUGCCAAUGAUUCUCCCCUACACAAAAGCUUCAUGGUGGAGGCAGGCUCCUAUCCGACAUGGGGCGUGCUGGUUGCACGGGAGUUCAGGCAAGUGACAUAGAAGAUUGAACUUCCAAAACACUCUCUAGAUCUAGCGACAAAUAGCCCAACCACUACUCAUUCAAGCCUCACCACCAGGAUUGCUACAUCAAGAGAUUGAUGGAGGGGGAGUGGAGUUAUGAUGUAGACCAUGUGAUCGGCAAAUCACCAGAAGUGGAAUCUCCUUUAGUGAGGGCAUACAUGGAUCACAAUGACUAAGGUGAGAUUUUCAUGUUCAUAUGAUGAAUUAGCUCAAGCGAAGAUAUGUUUUAUCUUUUCCAUACAUGAAAAAUUCAAGGGAUAUGAAAAUCAUCCUACAUGCUUUCAAACUAUCAAGUUGGAAAAAAUUAGUCCAUUUUGUGCACCCACAUGACCACACCCUUCUUUGGUGAAGUAAACUUUACUAGGUCAUGCCAUUAAAUGUAUCUUAUUUAGCUAAGACUUUGCCACACAUGUUUAUCGUGUGAUAUAUCUCCCAUUGUAUGCGACAAAUUUGCAUACGUAUCAUGCUUACUCGCCUAGUAAAGUUACAAAGACCUUUUCCGCGUAACCAUGUAUGAAUGACACUCUAUUCUUGUACAAAUGUGAAGUAUUCUAGAAGCUAGCAAUUCAAUUAUUCUUACCUUGUUGCGGUAAUAAAAUUCACGCGUUGCAUGUGCUUGUAUGAUAUGGUUUCUACAUAUUGCAUACCUUUUCGUUUCUGUUUUAAGUGCUAAUAUGGAAUAUGUUUUUUGUCAUACUUUAUUUUUUGGGGAAAUAUCUUAUAUUUAACUCAUUCUAGAAAACAACAUUCGUUGGGCCUGCGACAACUCGAUCUACCAUAUAUGUCUUCUACAUGCCGAUGUACUCAUCAUCACACAUCCAAAUUACAUAAUGAUGUAAAAUAUUUGGAUGUGUCUUGUUGCAACACUUGUAAUUGUGCACAUGUUUCUCAUCUCCUAUAUUUCACAUCCCCAAGAUCUACAAUGACACAUAAAAGAGAGCUCCCUGGCCCCUCUUUCACUCUCCAUGAGUAGCCUCCCUUUCUACAUGGGUCGCACAUGUGAGCUCAAGCAAGUGUCAGAUCAACCUAAUUGAUCUUCGAAAACACACUUUAGGUCUAGUGAAAAACGACCCACCCACCACUCAAUUGGGUCUCUUCGCCAUGGUUGGUUGCUAUGUCAAGAGGUCGAUGGAGGGGGAGUGGAUUCACGUGUUAGACCUUGUGGACUACAACUCACCCAGAGCGGAAGCUUCCAUGAGUGAAGACAUACAUCGACCUCAAUGCCUAAGGUGAACUUUUAAUGUUCUUCAUGUGCUUUGGUGAAGAUAUGUAUGUGUUCUGUCAACCAUGGAAACCUAAUUAUGGGAUUUGAUAGUGCACUUGGAGAUUGCUACUGGUUCCCACAACCAAUAGCAUUUUUUGUGGAAUAACAUUUUGUUGAGUUGUAUGUGAAGUUACGUUUAUAUAGGAAAAAUUAUUGAAGAAUAUUAUACGGUUUCAAGAUAUGUCCACUUCCGUAUCUAGAUAUGUGUCAAUGCCAUCAAGGUCAAGAUAUAAGUUUAUGAUGAUCCACGAUAAACAUGUGGACUCAAAUAUGAAAUAUCAAGAAUGAGUUCACUGGAUGAAUGAAAUAUGGUUAAUGUGAAACUAUAUGGAAGAUAAAAAAAUCAAAACAAAAUACAAAGUGUGACACAAAAAAGGUCAUGAUUUUAGCUCAUGAGAUGAAAUGUGAAAACCAAGAACUUUAGGCAAUAAAAAAGAAGAGGAUGAUUCAGUAUAUAUCUUCAAGGGCAUGUCAAGGUUGAGGUCGUGAGUUUGUAUAAUGACGAUGAAGCCUUUGUUAGGUGUCUCAUGAAGAAAAAACAAUUGACUCCUAGGAGAUUUACGUAGGGUUUAAAUAGGAAAUGGUUUAUUAUUCAAGUUUGGUAAGCACACAUUGUGAAUAACGUAUCACCUGAGACCAAGCAAUAUAUAGGUGUAAACAAUUUUUAGUUAUGCUUUCUAAACUAACCCAUCAUAUGUACAAAAUGUGGUUGAAGGUCAAGUACGACCCAUGGACUUGCGCAGAGAGGAUGAUUUUCAAUCAACCCGUGACGAAUGACAUCAUAUCGACAAACGCCAUCAAGGUUGUGAAGAGGAAAUUCAGGAUGUUCACCUCGAGAAUAUAUAGGCUUAAAGCAUGCGUGCAUUUUGUGACAAUGACCAAGCACAUAUGGGCUCAAAUGAAAAGGCUCCCCGUAUUGUUAGAGGAAGGUACAAAACCGAAGGUGUUCAUCAACAAACUUUAGAGAAGGCUUCAAUCUUGGAGGAAGGAUUAAUGUCAUCAUCAAGUAAGGAUGGAUUAACCCAAGGCAAAGGUAUGCAUGAAGUUUGACCAAAUUACUAGAGAAACCAACAUCAACAAUGCAAACAAUAAUAAUAAAAACAUUUCACGAUAGAUAGAUCUACCAACACUAAUUUGAUAUUGAAACGUUGUCAUUUUUCUACAAACUUGAGAAACAUUAUAAAGUUUGUCUCCAGACAUACUCCAUUCAUUCUAUAAUGUAGUGUGUAUAGAUUUUUUGAAAAGACAAAAUUUACAAAGUUUGAUUAAAUUUACAAAGAAAGCUAUUUAUAUGUACAAUACCGAAUAUAUAUAAUAUGAAAAUACAUCUAAUAAUGUAUAUAAUGAUAUGUAUUUGAUAUUCUAACUGUAU